Molecule: transfer RNA, 77 nt
Filed under: Burkholderia vietnamiensis
Lineage: Bacteria; Pseudomonadati; Pseudomonadota; Betaproteobacteria; Burkholderiales; Burkholderiaceae
Also listed under: 3 other names
Description: tRNA-Met
Rfam family: tRNA
About the family: Transfer RNA (tRNA) molecules are approximately 80 nucleotides in length. Their secondary structure includes four short double-helical elements and three loops (D, anti-codon, and T loops).
Source: RNAcentral
CGAGAUGUAGCUCAGCCGGUCAGAGCAGCGGCUUCAUAAGCCGAAGGUCGCGCGUUCGAUCCGCGCCAUCUCGACCA